Molecule: ribosomal RNA, 254 nt
Filed under: uncultured microorganism
Description: partial 16S ribosomal RNA
Rfam family: Archaeal small subunit ribosomal RNA
Source: RNAcentral
CACCGGCGGCUCGAGUGGUGGCCACUUUUAUUGGGUCUAAAGCGUCCGGAGCCGGCUUGGCAAGUCCCCUGGGAAAUCCGGCGGCUUAACCGUCAGGCGUCCAGAGGAUACUGCCAGGCUUGGGACCGGGAGAGGUGAGAGGUACCUCAGGGGUAGGGGUGAAAUCUUGUGAUCCCUGAGAGACCACCAGUGGCGAAGGCGUCUCACUAGAACGGGUCCGACGGUCAGGGACGAAAGCUGGGGGCACGAACCGG